GACGUAGGGGGCGAGCGUUGUCCGGAUUUAUUGGGCGUAAAGCGCACGUAGGCGGAUUUGUAAGUCAGGGGUGAAAUCCCGGGGCUCAACCUCGGAACUGCCUUUGAUACUGCAAGUCUCGAGUCCGAUAGAGGUGAGUGGAAUUCCUAGUGUAGAGGUGAAAUUCGUAGAUAUUAGGAAGAACACCAGUGGCGAAGGCGGCUCACUGGAUCGGUACUGACGCUGAGGUGCGAAAGCGUGGGGAGCAAACAGG
This 253-nucleotide ribosomal RNA is filed under the name uncultured bacterium. Its description in RNAcentral is "partial 16S ribosomal RNA". It matches the Rfam family "Bacterial small subunit ribosomal RNA", at positions 524 to 776 of the family's 1533-position model. The record is from RNAcentral.